GCCGGCAGCUAGCUCUCUGCAACUCUCACAUGGUCGCCCACUGAAGCUAAGCAGGGCUGCGCCCGGUCAGUACCUGGAUGGGAGACCACAUGGGAAAACUAGGUUGGUUCUGGAA
RNAcentral lists this ribosomal RNA (115 nucleotides) under Danio rerio (zebrafish). Lineage: Eukaryota; Metazoa; Chordata; Actinopteri; Cypriniformes; Danionidae. The record is from RNAcentral.